RNAcentral lists this unclassified non-coding RNA (236 nucleotides) under plant metagenome. RNAcentral describes it as "partial contains small subunit ribosomal RNA, internal transcribed spacer 1, and 5.8S ribosomal RNA". The record is from RNAcentral.
UUUCCGUAGGUGAACCUGCGGAAGGAUCAUUACUGAGUGAGGGCCCCUCGGGGUCCAACCUCCCACCCGUGUUUAACGAACUUUGUUGCUUCGGCGGGCCCGCCUCACGGCCGCCGGGGGGCAUCUGCCCCCGGGCCCGCGCCCGCCGAAGCCACCUGUGAACGCUGUCUGAAGUAUGCAGUCUGAGACAAUUAUUAAAUUAAUUAAAACUUUCAACAACGGAUCUCUUGGUUCCG